Molecule: ribosomal RNA, 693 nt
Filed under: uncultured bacterium
Lineage: Bacteria
Description: bacterial SSU rRNA
Rfam family: Bacterial small subunit ribosomal RNA
Source: RNAcentral
AGUCGAGCGCACUCUUCGGAGUGAGCGGCGGACGGGUUAGUAACGCGUGGGAACGUACCCAGAUCUAAGGAAUAGCCACUGGAAACGGUGAGUAAUACCUUAUACGCCCUUCGGGGGAAAGAUUUAUCGGAUUUGGAUCGGCCCGCGUUAGAUUAGGUAGUUGGUGGGGUAAUGGCCUACCAAGCCUACGAUCUAUAGCUGGUUUUAGAGGAUGAUCAGCAACACUGGGACUGAGACACGGCCCAGACUCCUACGGGAGGCAGCAGUGGGGAAUCUUAGACAAUGGGCGCAAGCCUGAUCUAGCCAUGCCGCGUGAGUGAUGAAGGCCUUAGGGUCGUAAAGCUCUUUCGCCUGUGAUGAUAAUGACAGUAGCAGGUAAAGAAACCCCGGCUAACUCCGUGCCAGCAGCCGCGGUAAUACGGAGGGGGUUAGCGUUGUUCGGAAUUACUGGGCGUAAAGCGCACGUAGGCGGAUUAGAAAGUUAGGGGUGAAAUCCCGGGGCUCAACCUCGGAACUGCCUCUAAAACUCCUAGUCUAGAGUUCGAGAGAGGUGAGUGGAAUUCCAAGUGUAGAGGUGAAAUUCGUAGAUAUUUGGAGGAACACCAGUGGCGAAGGCGGCUCACUGGCUCGAUACUGACGCUGAGGUGCGAAAGUGUGGGGAGCAAACAGGAUUAGAUACCCUGGUAGAAGGGC